Molecule: ribosomal RNA, 2900 nt
Filed under: Klebsiella pneumoniae CHS 09
Lineage: Bacteria; Pseudomonadati; Pseudomonadota; Gammaproteobacteria; Enterobacterales; Enterobacteriaceae
Description: bacterial LSU rRNA
Rfam family: Bacterial large subunit ribosomal RNA
Source: RNAcentral
UUAAGCGACUAAGCGUACACGGUGGAUGCCCUGGCAGUCAGAGGCGAUGAAGGACGUGCUAAUCUGCGAAAAGCGUCGGUAAGGUGAUAUGAACCGUUACAGCCGGCGAUGUCCGAAUGGGGAAACCCAGUGCAAUUCGUUGCACUAUCGUUAACUGAAUACAUAGGUUAACGAGGCGAACCGGGGGAACUGAAACAUCUAAGUACCCCGAGGAAAAGAAAUCAACCGAGAUUCCCCCAGUAGCGGCGAGCGAACGGGGAGCAGCCCAGAGUCUGAAUCAGCUUGUGUGUUAGUGGAACGGUCUGGAAAGUCCGACGGUACAGGGUGAUAGUCCCGUACACCAAAAUGCACAGGUUGUGAACUCGAAGAGUAGGGCGGGACACGUGGUAUCCUGUCUGAAUAUGGGGGGACCAUCCUCCAAGGCUAAAUACUCCUGACUGACCGAUAGUGAACCAGUACCGUGAGGGAAAGGCGAAAAGAACCCCGGCGAGGGGAGUGAAAAAGAACCUGAAACCGUGUACGUACAAGCAGUGGGAGCACCUUCGGGUGUGACUGCGUACCUUUUGUAUAAUGGGUCAGCGACUUAUAUUCUGUAGCAAGGUUAACCGUAUAGGGGAGCCGCAGGGAAACCGAGUCUUAACUGGGCGUUAAGUUGCAGGGUAUAGACCCGAAACCCGGUGAUCUAGCCAUGGGCAGGUUGAAGGUUGGGUAACACUAACUGGAGGACCGAACCGACUAAUGUUGAAAAAUUAGCGGAUGACUUGUGGCUGGGGGUGAAAGGCCAAUCAAACCGGGAGAUAGCUGGUUCUCCCCGAAAGCUAUUUAGGUAGCGCCUCGUGAACUCAUCUUCGGGGGUAGAGCACUGUUUCGGCUAGGGGGUCAUCCCGACUUACCAACCCGAUGCAAACUACGAAUACCGAAGAAUGUUAUCACGGGAGACACACGGCGGGUGCUAACGUCCGUCGUGAAGAGGGAAACAACCCAGACCGCCAGCUAAGGUCCCAAAGUCAUGGUUAAGUGGGAAACGAUGUGGGAAGGCACAGACAGCCAGGAUGUUGGCUUAGAAGCAGCCAUCAUUUAAAGAAAGCGUAAUAGCUCACUGGUCGAGUCGGCCUGCGCGGAAGAUGUAACGGGGCUAAACCAUGCACCGAAGCUGCGGCAGCGACACUAUGUGUUGUUGGGUAGGGGAGCGUUCUGUAAGCCUGCGAAGGUGUGCUGUGAGGCAUGCUGGAGGUAUCAGAAGUGCGAAUGCUGACAUAAGUAACGAUAAAGCGGGUGAAAAGCCCGCUCGCCGGAAGACCAAGGGUUCCUGUCCAACGUUAAUCGGGGCAGGGUGAGUCGACCCCUAAGGCGAGGCCGAAAGGCGUAGUCGAUGGGAAACAGGUUAAUAUUCCUGUACUUGGUGUUACUGCGAAGGGGGGACGGAGAAGGCUAUGUUAGCCGGGCGACGGUUGUCCCGGUUUAAGCAUGUAGGCUGGUUAUCCAGGCAAAUCCGGAUAAUCAAGGCUGAGGUGUGAUGACGAGGCACUACGGUGCUGAAGUAACAAAUGCCCUGCUUCCAGGAAAAGCCUCUAAGCAUCAGGUAACAUCAAAUCGUACCCCAAACCGACACAGGUGGUCAGGUAGAGAAUACCAAGGCGCUUGAGAGAACUCGGGUGAAGGAACUAGGCAAAAUGGUGCCGUAACUUCGGGAGAAGGCACGCUGGUGUGUAGGUGAAGUCCCUGCGGAUGGAGCUGAGACCAGUCGAAGAUACCAGCUGGCUGCAACUGUUUAUUAAAAACACAGCACUGUGCAAACACGAAAGUGGACGUAUACGGUGUGACGCCUGCCCGGUGCCGGAAGGUUAAUUGAUGGGGUUAUCCGUAAGGAGAAGCUCUUGAUCGAAGCCCCGGUAAACGGCGGCCGUAACUAUAACGGUCCUAAGGUAGCGAAAUUCCUUGUCGGGUAAGUUCCGACCUGCACGAAUGGCGUAAUGAUGGCCAGGCUGUCUCCACCCGAGACUCAGUGAAAUUGAACUCGCUGUGAAGAUGCAGUGUACCCGCGGCAAGACGGAAAGACCCCGUGAACCUUUACUAUAGCUUGACACUGAACAUUGAGCCUUGAUGUGUAGGAUAGGUGGGAGGCUUUGAAGCGUGGACGCCAGUCUGCGUGGAGCCAACCUUGAAAUACCACCCUUUAAUGUUUGAUGUUCUAACGUUGGCCCCUGACCGGGGUUGCGGACAGUGUCUGGUGGGUAGUUUGACUGGGGCGGUCUCCUCCCAAAGCGUAACGGAGGGGCACGAAGGUUAGCUAAUCCUGGUCGGACAUCAGGAGGUUAGUGCAAUGGCAUAAGCUAGCUUGACUGCGAGCGUGACGGCGCGAGCAGGUGCGAAAGCAGGUCAUAGUGAUCCGGUGGUUCUGAAUGGAAGGGCCAUCGCUCAACGGAUAAAAGGUACUCCGGGGAUAACAGGCUGAUACCGCCCAAGAGUUCAUAUCGACGGCGGUGUUUGGCACCUCGAUGUCGGCUCAUCACAUCCUGGGGCUGAAGUAGGUCCCAAGGGUAUGGCUGUUCGCCAUUUAAAGUGGUACGCGAGCUGGGUUUAGAACGUCGUGAGACAGUUCGGUCCCUAUCUGCCGUGGGCGCUGGAGAAUUGAGGGGGGCUGCUCCUAGUACGAGAGGACCGGAGUGGACGCAUCACUGGUGUUCGGGUUGUCAUGCCAAUGGCACUGCCCGGUAGCUAAAUGCGGAAGAGAUAAGUGCUGAAAGCAUCUAAGCACGAAACUUGCCCCGAGAUGAGUUCUCCCUGAGACUAUAAGUCUCCUGAAGGAACGUUAAAGACGAUGACGUUGAUAGGCCGGGUGUGUAAGCGCAGCGAUGCGUUGAGCUAACCGGUACUAAUGAACCGUGAGGCUUAACCUU